RNAcentral lists this non-coding RNA (29 nucleotides) under Rattus norvegicus (Norway rat). The record is from RNAcentral. Lineage: Eukaryota; Metazoa; Chordata; Mammalia; Rodentia; Muridae.
UGCUGAUGCUGCUUUGUGGCUUGCGCGAA